RNAcentral lists this long non-coding RNA (922 nucleotides) under Triticum aestivum (bread wheat). Its description in RNAcentral is "long non-coding RNA (TAES_LNC021800)". The record is from RNAcentral. Lineage: Eukaryota; Viridiplantae; Streptophyta; Magnoliopsida; Poales; Poaceae.
ACGGCGACGGCGACUUGCAGCACGGUGGCGAUGGGUGCGUGGACAGCGACGGUUCUCUCUCUGGAGGAAGCGUGCAAUGGCGAAAGCAAGCAACGACAGGUCCCUCCCUGCCAUUCUUACCUUUCCUGUGAUGGCUCUUUGUCGCUCUUGGUAGAGCGAGUACUGAUAACGUGUAAAGUGAAAAAGUGAUUUUCUAGAAGUGAAUGAUUCUCAUUGAUUGGGCACUAUAUAUAUACAGGGAGCGGUUACAAAUUUGUUAGAGUAUUUCUAACCGCAAGCAGCGGUUGCUAAUGCGUGAGUCAUAACAGUAACUGCACUAAGCAGUUGCUAACAUGAGAGAGGAAGUACAACUGCUUCUAGCAGUUAGAGAAUACAUAGUCGGUUCCUAAGUCGGUUCCUUAAUUAGGACUUGAUAAUUAGUAAAUAAUCAAGUGCUCUAAUUCUAUUCCUAACAAAAACAAACCACGCUGCAGCGGUGACGAAGGCAGACGGGUCAACCCAGGCGGGUGCAUUGAACCAAAAUGGCAGUGAAGGCAGGCUCACGGCGGGUCUUAAUGGAGACUGGCCACGGCGGCUCAACUGAGGCCUGGCCGGUCUGAAAAUGGCUGCUCAGAGCGAUGGCUCGCUGUGGAGAAGAGGAAAAAACUUCACUAUUAACUUUGAAAAAACUUCAUCAUUAACCUUGGCAUCCGUGUGGCCGUUUGAUUCCUUGGUUGAUCUUUUGACUAUUAGAAUUGCUAUCUGUCAAUCUGGAUUGGAUCCUUCAUCACGUGACCCUUUUUUAUUCCUCCUUAGCUUCACGUGGGAGUGGAUGCCAAGUCUCCUCUAGCACAUUCUUAUCCUGACGCAGCGUAUGGCAGCUCAGGGCGAGGUUGGCGUUGCAGAAUUGUCCGAGUCCAGGUCGUGGCUGAUUUGAACAAAC